UUCAAACCUCGUAGGUAUAUUUUUAUUUAGCUGAUAUUAUACUCAAGUAACUAUUGGUUUCGUACAGGCAGAGCCAUCUAUCGGCAGGAUUGUAUUGAUAACCCAGUUUGCUGUUAGCUAGAAUGACAAAAGAUGGCGUGUCGAUCGUCGUUAAUUUAUUUCCUUCCAAAAUCCCUUUUGAAUUUUCAUUUAUUAAAAAUAAAACUCAAUUUAUUAUUGUAUUGUUAGUUUUCGUUCCUUUUUGGAAAUAUUUUAUUACCCUCUUUAAGACAGAAGUUAAAGUUGUUGUCUAUAGGCGAAUGCAUCUCGUCACGUAUCUGUGGGCCGAGCUGUCAGCCGACACUUUGCAUAUUGGAAAGGAUGUAGACGGGUGGUUUUCAAAUUCUUCAGGGCCAAUGCGCCACAUUCUAAUUUUUAAAUCGCGAAUUAAUCGCAUAAUCGUAAGUAUUUUCUUCCAUAUUCGAAUGCAGUUUGUUGUGUUACGUUCAGUGCUAAUUCUUGUGUCCAUUAUUUUCAGAUGAUUUUAUUUUUAUAAAAUUACUGAGGACCCCUUCCAUUGACAUGAUUGCACGGAACCACAAGCCGGCUUCUUUUCUGGAAUGGGUCCUCAGAUUUGGAGGUUAACGUUCGAAGACAGAGCAGAGCUGAUGCUUCCCGAGCCUGGACCGGUGGACAGGAGGCUGUGGCGAUCGGUAUGGAAGAGCUCCCAUUCCGUGGCUGCAGCGGCCACCUCUCCUCAAUUCGGUUAGACGUCCCCCAAGGUCAGAGCGUUCCUCGUUUAUUUUUUAAAAAAGGCGCCCAACAUAAAUUAAUUUUUUAAUUAAUAAUUUACCUUUUACCCGGUCUUCCAGUACCAGAACUACUGACUCACCCCUAUGCUCUAAAUUUUAGGUAUUUGUUUUUUUUUAAGUAAAUAGACUGAGCUAGCGAUAUAAUUUAUAAUAAGGGUAGUUUCAUUGCCUACCAGUUAGGCGUUACUAAGUAGUGUAUUAUUACGUUCGAAAUUGUUUUCAGAAAGAAAGUUAAUUAAAAAGUUAUUUUCUAUAUAAAUACUUAGUUUACUUUAUUUACCCUUAGGUAAUCCCCAAAAUUGUAACAGUGGCAGCCCUACGUGUGGCUUUAGAGAGUUCAGACUGGAAGACCGUUAGUUGCUUACCUAUUUAAUAAUUUUCUUAAACAUAGUAUUAGAGAUUAUUUACAUACCUACCUAAGAUUGUUGGCAAAAUCAAUGUUAAACAUUACUUUAAAUAACAAAUUCCUUACUAAAAAUAAAGGAAAGGUUUCCGUAUUUACUUUCGUUCCGUACUUUCUUUGUGUGUUAAAUGUAUAGUACCAUAUAGAUAAUUAUUACCUCUUGUUAGUUGGUGGGUACCAAAUCUGGUUAUUUUUAUUCAUUGCCAACAGUACUAUAUAUACCUACAAAACCAUUUUGUCUCUUUAUUUUAGUGAAAAGCAAGAAGUUAUGCUUGUAUUUAAUUCUAAAUAGUACCACACGCUUGGUACCUACUGCAUUUUGUAAUUCGUAAAUGAGGAUUUUUUUUUUACAUUUUGAUGUGAAAGGUGUGAUUAGCAAAUUAAAUUUAUUUUACAUUGUAUUUAACUAGACUACAUACUCUUUUUCUAGAAGGUGAUUAAUUUUAAUUGUUCAUAGUUCUUACCUAAUGAUAAUAGUUGAAGUAAUUUAAAGUACCUACAGCCAGUCGUAAGAAUUGGUGUCUUGUUUUCUAAAUUACCUAUUUUAUUCUUCCUACCUUAACGAUAUUGAAGUUUGAUGUUGUAAAUUUAGUACAAAUAUUUAUGUAGGUAUUUUAAUUGAGUUUUACUACAGAAAGUUAAACAUGUAAAGAGCAUACAGGGUGAUUCUAAAAAAUGUUAAAAAUAAUAAUUUAACCUAACUUUUAUAUUUAAAUAAUUGGGUGAUCGUUUGGACCUUUUAUUGUUUAAAUUAGUCCAGCGUGCACAUUUAAUAUUAUUCGUGGGUUUCCUUUGUGGUUGAGAAUACUUUAGAAUAAAUAUUUUGUUGUGAAAGUGAUCGUGAUCUAAGUUGUUUACGAGGCGUUAUCUUUAUUACCUACUUUCCGGUGGGUUAGAUUUAACACAAGUUUUUCCAUAUUGUUGUUACGUUAAGGAGUAGGUAUUCAUUUAUUAGCAGUUAUCGGUGAUAGGUAGUUUUUUUGUUUUGAUGUAUAGUAGGCGUUUUCUUUAUGUGUUUGAAGUGGGAGUUAAGUACAUUGUGUCCGGAUGGUACUAAUACGUCCGUACACAAGUAUUACCUUUUCGAUGUUUGGUGGUGAGUGGACGAUUUAAAAGUUCUCUUCACGUAGUUUUCUGGGUGCUGGCGUUUUAAACCAGCAUUUCAGCUUCACUGGCUGGUCGGAUUCUUGCGGAUUUAAACGGAGAAUUCUUAAUAGCAGUGUUGUACCCUUGUUGAUGCUUUGCGAUAUGACUUAAAUCAUAUGCGUGAACGUUGGCGUUCUUUUGUGUUGUCGGACCGACAGACUUGCGUCGCCUGAGACGCGGUCUGUACAGUCAACCCUUGUACUUAUGUCUAAUGUUGUGUCGAAACGUUCCGUCUUGUGUCGUACAUAGACGCAGCCGGUAUAUACGCUUCGUUGUUCUGGUGUUAUUGUCUGUUCUUUGUAUUCUUAGCUGUCACCGAUAUUUGUUAGGGAAAUUUCAUUUAGCUAUAAGCCGUCUUCCGUUAUAUCGCUUGGACGUACAGCCCGCUGUCUGGUAUAGCUCGCUGUGCCGCCAAGAAAUAUAGACGAUGCGACGUAAUGUAGUAAUUUACCUAAAAAAAAAAAGGGGCUAUUCUUAUCUGGUUUAGUGCGUGGGUUCGAUUUGGAUGGUUUUUUUGUUAUCGAUUAUAGAUUUCGAGUUGUAGCUGUUAUAUUACCCAUAUUUCCUGUAGUUUGGAGCUGGGGACCAGCUCAAAAUUUUGCCUGCGUCAAAAUUUUCUCUGGGGAGGGGAGUACUGUAACAAUAUUUUUUCAAACCUCGUAGGUAUAUUUUUAUUUAGCUGAUAUUAUACUCAAGUAACUAUUGGUUUCGUACAGGCAGAGCCAUCUAUCGGCAGGAUUGUAUUGAUAACCCAGUUUGCUGUUAGCUAGAAUGACAAAAGAUGGCGUGUCGAUCGUCGUUAAUUUAUUUCCUUCCAAAAUCCCUUUUGAAUUUUCAUUUAUUAAAAAUAAAACUCAAUUUAUUAUUGUAUUGUUAGUUUUCGUUCCUUUUUGGAAAUAUUUUAUUACCCUCUUUAAGACAGAAGUUAAAGUUGUUGUCUAUAGGCGAAUGCAUCUCGUCACGUAUCUGUGGGCCGAGCUGUCAGCCGACACUUUGCAUAUUGGAAAGGAUGUAGACGGGUGGUUUUCAAAUUCUUCAGGGCCAAUGCGCCACAUUCUAAUUUUUAAAUCGCGAAUUAAUCGCAUAAUCGUAAGUAUUUUCUUCCAUAUUCGAAUGCAGUUUGUUGUGUUACGUUCAGUGCUAAUUCUUGUGUCCAUUAUUUUCAGAUGAUUUUAUUUUUAUAAAAUUACUGAGGACCCCUUCCAUUGACAUGAUUGCACGGAACCACAAGCCGGCUUCUUUUCUGGAAUGGGUACGUUUCACAUUCGUUCGAGUAAUAUUUUAACCCUCGCUAAGGGUUGGUGGAAGCCUCAGGGUCAUUGUUUUUUUUUAAACCUAUUUCAGGUCCUCAGAUUUGGAGGUUAACGUUCGAAGACAGAGCAGAGCUGAUGCUUCCCGAGCCUGGACCGGUGGACAGGAGGCUGUG
This 3766-nucleotide long non-coding RNA is filed under the name Leguminivora glycinivorella. Its description in RNAcentral is "uncharacterized LOC125228976, transcript variant X2". The record is from RNAcentral. Lineage: Eukaryota; Metazoa; Arthropoda; Insecta; Lepidoptera; Tortricidae.